UACGAAGGGGGCUAGCGUUGCUCGGAAUCACUGGGCGUAAAGGGUGCGUAGGCGGGUUUUUAAGUCAGAGGUGAAAUCCUGGAGCUCAACUCCAGAACUGCCUUUGAUACUGAAAGUCUUGAGUAUGGGAGAGGUGAGUGGAACUGCGAGUGUAGAGGUGAAAUUCGUAGAUAUUCGCAAGAACACCAGUGGCGAAGGCGGCUCACUGGCCCGUUACUGACGCUGAGGCACGAAAGCGUGGGGAGCAAACAGG
RNAcentral lists this ribosomal RNA (253 nucleotides) under uncultured bacterium. RNAcentral's name for it is "partial 16S ribosomal RNA". It matches the Rfam family "Bacterial small subunit ribosomal RNA", at positions 524 to 776 of the family's 1533-position model. The record is from RNAcentral.